RNAcentral lists this ribosomal RNA (1362 nucleotides) under Triticum aestivum (bread wheat). RNAcentral's name for it is "partial small subunit ribosomal RNA". The record is from RNAcentral. Lineage: Eukaryota; Viridiplantae; Streptophyta; Magnoliopsida; Poales; Poaceae.
AUGGAACCUGACCACCUGUCUACCUUAGAUUUAAGGCAGACUGAGGUAAAUAAAUUACCAGAAUUUAAGGGCACGAAGUUGGUGUGUUUGCUUGCAAAUGGUCUCACAAUACCGGGAGCGGGAGGAGGAAUGGGGGAAAUGGAAAAAUUGGAGGAACUAUCAACGGUCUGUCUAGGUGGUGAUGGCUCACUUGCUGACAAUGUGGCAGGACUUGUUAGAAAGUUGAUGCGGCUGCGGAUGCUUGGGGUGAGAUUUAGGAUUACGUAUAAUAGUACUGCAGAAGAAGCGGAACGGCAGGGCAUCAAGCAUUUGGUGGAGGAGGUGGGGAAAUCAAACUUGCAGUUCCUUUUUCUUGAUGAAUACCCUCAUCGUCUGCUCGACUUACUUGUUGAUUGCUGGAGCCAUGUAAGGCCACGUUACCUGCGGAAAUUUGAGCUAAGAUUGGAUUGGCUAUUGUGCCCCCUAAAAGUCCCACAGGAGAUCUCUUCCCUUGUUGACCUCACUCACUUGCAUAUCGGACUUUCAAUAGUAGAUGCAGAAGGUGUCCGCGCCCUUGGGGGGCUGCAAAAGUUAGUCCUCCUAAAAUUGUAUUCACUGCGGCCACAACAUGGCCUCACCGGUGAACCACAAAGUCCAGGCCCAGCAAGGUUGUCCGUGAGCAGCAAGGAUGGCUUUCAGCGCCUCAAGGUGUUCUGGUACGUCUGCGAGCAUGGCGCUUGGACGGGGCUGCAGUUUGAACAAGGCUCCAUGCCGCACCUCCGAAGGCUUCUCAUUGACUUCCAGUCAUCGGAGGAUGAUACAGAUCACUUUGUGCUUGGUAUCCAGCAUUUCUCUUGUCUCGUGCAGGUCCGUGCCACCAUCUACUGUGAGCCUACUUCAACAACAGUCGUUUCUGCCGCGGAGACCCACAUCAGAGACCAAGUGUCUCAGAACCCCAACAAUCCCCUACUGGAAUUCAACAGAAAACGUCGAGGCCGUUUGGUGAGGCGUCUAGGGCCGCUCUCUAAUGUGAAGGAGCAGCCAUCGGCGGUGAUUAAGAUCCGCAGCCUGGAUGACUGGACUAUGAUGAUCGAGCAGAAGGACAAGAAGCUGCUCGUGGUUGAGUUCACCGCGAGCUGGUGCAGGGCAUCCCGCAGCAUAGCUCCCUUUUUUGCUUUUCUCGCCAACAAGUUUCCAGAUGCCAUUUUUCUCCAGGUUGAUAUUGAUGGUAUGAAAUAUAUUGCCGAGGCAUACAAAGUUGAUGGUGCGCCGAUGUUCCUUUUCAUGAACAAGGGAAAGGUUAAGGACACGCUUCGUGGCGCACACAAGGAAGAGCUGUUUGAGAAGCUUCAGCUGCAGAUGGCCCUAGUUAUGGACAACUGA